AAGGAAAUAGAUUGGUGGGCUUCUAGUCCAUCUCUGCCACAGCUCUGCAAUGAAUUUAAAUUGAACUUAUUGCAUGCAUUGCUUAAUGUCCUUUGUUGUUAAACUAUUUCCUAAAUGGUACAACCUGAAUAUCUUAGUGUGACAAAUUUACUCAUGAAAGGUCCCUCUAUCAUCAGGUUGGAGGAAGUCUUGACAAGGAAGUUGGCAAGACUGGAAUGCCACUCAGAACCCAGUUUCUUUCUGCCUUGAGAGUGAGAGCAAGGAGACGACACACACUAAAAAGAGCCAGAAGCUCUCAGAGAUGACCACAGGAUGGAGAAUGUCGGGGGUAGUACAGCGUGGUGCAAGAAGCUCCAGCUCUGGGGCCAGUUGGACAGGGUUUGAUUCCAACUCUGGCACCUGUCAGUGGAGCAGCCUCAGUGAUGCCUCUCAUCUUCACGUUCUUUGCUUGAUAGAACAACAUGGCUGUCCAAGCACCAGACUUCAUGGGAAAGGAGAGGAGAGCUCAGGGAGCUUCCUUUCUGACUAUUCCGUGAAGGAUUUUAUUCUCUGGAAAAAAUGACACUCCCUCAAACAAAGAAUCAUCUGGCUCAAAUGCCGUAAGUGCUAGGGUUGAGAAACCCUGCUCUAAAUGUCGAUGGUAGAAAUCAGAGGUCUUCAUCAUCAGAAGUGGUCCUACAGGAAACGGAAUCGUAGAGAGGAUGACAUUGAAAAAGCCCUUCACUAACUCAGAGGAAAACUAGAAAACAGCUACGAAGAAGAUAUUACACAGAGAAGAGAAGAGAUGAGAUCCAACUUAUGAAAAACAGAUUCUUCUCUAAACAUCCUCAGGGUGCUGCUCAUCAAUGGAAUACUCAGAUGACCACUGCUGAGCACCUGGAGGUUACAUGCCCUGCCACAAUGACUCAGUAAAACCACCCCUUCCAUCUUGGUCAAAGUGCACUGCAAAGGCAACGUGUGACCUAGACAAGAUGAAGAAACUGAAAAUUAGAGAUGGUGAAUGACUUCCCCAAAGUCAUAUAGCUAUUAAGUGACAGGUAUCAGAAUUAUUCAAAUGUAUAGUCAAUGGAUCCCAGUGGAAGCAUAUUUCUC
RNAcentral lists this long non-coding RNA (1092 nucleotides) under Equus asinus (donkey). RNAcentral describes it as "lncRNA (ENSEASG00005037182.1)". The record is from RNAcentral. Lineage: Eukaryota; Metazoa; Chordata; Mammalia; Perissodactyla; Equidae.